UACGUAGGGUGCAAGCGUUAAUCGGAAUUACUGGGCGUAAAGCGUGCGCAGGCGGUUUUGUAAGUCUGACGUGAAAUCCCCGGGCUCAACCUGGGCAUUGCGUUGGAGACUGCAAGGCUAGAAUCUGGCAGAGGGGGGUAGAAUUCCACGUGUAGCAGUGAAAUGCGUAGAGAUGUGGAGGAACACCGAUGGCGAAGGCAGCCCCCUGGGUCAAGAUUGACGCUCAUGCACGAAAGCGUGGGGAGCAAACAGG
This 253-nucleotide ribosomal RNA is filed under the name uncultured bacterium. Its description in RNAcentral is "partial 16S ribosomal RNA". It matches the Rfam family "Bacterial small subunit ribosomal RNA", at positions 524 to 776 of the family's 1533-position model. The record is from RNAcentral.